AGCCUGGAGGAGCGGGGGGGCAGGCGGGCCCCGGAGCGGGAUUGGGGCACGGCGUCGGCGGGGGGACGACUCCUGUUGCGGCAGGCGUGCCCGGGAGUGCUGGUAAGUCACGAGGAAGUUUAAAACCUGUGGACCAAACAGGAUUAAGGUCAACUUGAGUCGGGUACGAUUAGUGCAGCCCCAAGUUAUUUACUUGAGAGUUGCGGCUAGGUGAGCAAGAAGAUGGAUAGAAGACAGACACUCCCAGGCAGUGUGAGGCCAGCUCCACCCCUGGGCACAGACUGCAGGCACCAGCCGACCCGGGUACCAACUGAUUGAACCCCCUGCUGAGCCCUGCUCUCUCCUGUACAGCUGCCCCAAAGCCAUGGGCUUCCCUGCUGCAGCAUGUGUCGAUGGGUCCUCUGUUGCCUCUGACGUCUCCCCAGGCACUCGUACGCUGCACAAGGGUCUGGAUGUCUCCAGCAGCGGCGCAGCAGCCGGACGCGUCCUCUCGUCUGGGACGCGGGGUCCUUCACCGCUCUUCUGGGAUACGGGGCCCUUGAGAUGGGACCAAUGAUAGGAAAUGCUGACGAAGAGAAAAGCUGGACAAGCAGUUUUUUGAGAUUAAUACCUAAGGGACGGGAUGAAACAAGGAAGCCAAAAUGCAGCGGACCCUCGAUAUCACUGGAAACGGCUACGGCAGGAGGUGUUCUGGCACAGGCAUUCAGAACCUCGGGGAACGACUGUAUGCUGCCAUGAAGAACUACAGGCUACCACCGCCCUCGGACCUUCGUAAGUUAUCAUGUAUCAAGAGCGACCAGGAGAAUCCAAACGGCAGCGGAAAGGUUCUCUGCCUGGUCUUGACGAGGAGCCUUCGGCCAUAGGAAGGUUGGCCGCGUCCUUAUCAGACUUGUGAGUAAUAAGCCGCAAUUCAUGGAAUGGCAAAGGAGGGGUGGAAUAGCGACUGGUAGCCCAGUUGCUAUGGCGUUGCUGUUGCUGGCAGGGCCACAAGGUCUGUGCGAAGCCUGUCUACCUGGAAUAACCAGUGAGGCCUAAAAUAGGAAUUCUCGUGGCUAGAUGG
Molecule: long non-coding RNA, 1060 nt
Filed under: Dromaius novaehollandiae (emu)
Lineage: Eukaryota; Metazoa; Chordata; Aves; Casuariiformes; Dromaiidae
Description: lncRNA (ENSDNVG00000014089.1)
Source: RNAcentral